CUUCACACUCAUCCGAUUCACUGAUAGGUAAUUCACUCCCGGAGAUGGAUACGCGUCGUUGAACAGGAGUGCUGCUGCGGGACACAACAUAUAUAACACUCUCAGAUUGUGGUGGCAAAAAAAACGAGAUGAUCACCGGACGAGGCGAAUAAACAUAAACCAAUGGAGACGUAAUGAAAAAAAAUGUAAAGUAUACAUACAUAGCAUGGGAAAUGAUAAUCAGAACGAUGACGUGUGUAAAAACGAAGCAAAAAAGGAUUAAAUAACGAGUUUAGCAGCUUA
Molecule: long non-coding RNA, 282 nt
Organism: Lutzomyia longipalpis
Lineage: Eukaryota; Metazoa; Arthropoda; Insecta; Diptera; Psychodidae
Exons: 2
Source: RefSeq, a predicted model, not a curated record